GAUCCUGGCUCAGGACGAACGCUGGCGGCGUGCUUAACACAUGCAAGUCGAACGAAGAGCGAUGGAAGCUUGCUUCUAUUGAUCUUAGUGGCGAACGGGUGAGUAACGCGUAAUCAACCUGCCCCUUCAGAGGGGGACGAACAGUUGGAAACGACUGCUAAUACCGCAUACGAUCCAAUCUCGGCAUCGAGACUGGAUGAAAGGUGGCCUCUAUGUAUAAGCUAUCACUGAAGGG
RNAcentral lists this ribosomal RNA (235 nucleotides) under uncultured bacterium. RNAcentral's name for it is "partial 16S ribosomal RNA". It matches the Rfam family "Bacterial small subunit ribosomal RNA", at positions 15 to 225 of the family's 1533-position model. The record is from RNAcentral.